RNAcentral lists this small nuclear RNA (23 nucleotides) under Arabidopsis thaliana (thale cress). Its description in RNAcentral is "snRNA_08311". The record is from RNAcentral. Lineage: Eukaryota; Viridiplantae; Streptophyta; Magnoliopsida; Brassicales; Brassicaceae.
GAGAAACUUUAGAAUAAUGAUUA